This 430-nucleotide long non-coding RNA is filed under the name Rattus norvegicus (Norway rat). RNAcentral describes it as "long non-coding RNA NONRATT003824". The record is from RNAcentral. Lineage: Eukaryota; Metazoa; Chordata; Mammalia; Rodentia; Muridae.
CCCAGUGACUGUACCCAGCCCGCAGUCCUGCAGCUGAAAGAUCGGCUUUUCCAUGCCCAAGGUUCUACCGUCUUGGGCCGACAGGCUCCUGCUUUCCCGUUUCCCCGCGUUGCUGUAGGAGCUGCUCUCCACCCAAAAGAGACAUCAUCACACAGAAUGGGAUUCCAGCCUCCUCGCCAGGUCCCAGCUCCAUCUGUGAGGCCGAGGGCCGCAGCUCAGCCGUCAGUGAUGCCUUUCCUCCCCUCCCAUCCCAUCCCUUCUGUGGGCUCGUGGACACAGUCCUCAAGUGACUACAGGGUCCCCAAACCCCAAGCAACCUUGCCUGUGCAUUUCGUCCCUGGAGUAAGGCCUGCCUCUCUGUCUCUCUCUCUCUCUGUCUAUCUCCAUCUCUCUCUGAUUAAAGGCUUUGUAUUUUUGGCAAUAUACCAAA